RNAcentral lists this long non-coding RNA (456 nucleotides) under Podarcis lilfordi (Lilford's wall lizard). The record is from RNAcentral. Lineage: Eukaryota; Metazoa; Chordata; Lepidosauria; Squamata; Lacertidae.
AGCUGAACCCCGUUCGGGGACACCGAGGCUGAAGAGAAGCAGCUGAAGAGACCUCUCAGCAGCAGCCGCAGCCAGAGGCCGUAUAUUGCUCCUGCCUGCUCUCCCACUGGAUCCCCUGACCUCUAGACUGCGAUCCUCCUUUUCAGCUACAGGUAAAGUAUGUUCAGCGCAGCAGAAGAGGAGGCAACUCGGCCACAGAGCAAACCCGCCAGCCCGUCGCGCCGCCGGUGCCUUUAAGGGACGUCGGAGCUGCAGAAAUCGCCACAGGAGGUUUGCAGGUGCUGUAAGGUGAAAGCGGGGAGGGGGAGCUGCCCUUAAAAACUCCUCCGGACGAGGUCGGCACUCGCCCGUGCUGCGCUCUUCUGGACGCCCACGGCGACGCAGGUCGUAGCCGGAGCCUCUCAUCUUUGCGGCGGGCUCGCACCGCGCCUUCUCGGGCUGCGCUCCUUCCUCUGC